CCGUGGCUGGGAAGAACGACAGCGGCGGGGCCGGUUUCGGCGGGCGGCGGAGGCGCGGAGGGGACAGAGCUGCCAUUUCAAGAUGGCGAAGCGCCCGCCUACCAGGACCCUGCAUGAGCCGGGUCGGCCUCCAGCCCCACUCCAGAUGGCGGCCGCGGCAGGACUCCGGCAGAGGCGUCGCCGCCGCUCCCUGCCGCCGUUCGCGGGGCUCCGGUGCCGCUGACCCCGCCAACCGUUUUCUCCCGCCGGGAAAAGCAGCAGAAAAUGGCGCUGAGAGCGCGGGAUCGGCGUCGGGACCGGGUUGAGGCAGCCGUCGGUGUUCCCUGAGUGGCUGCAGCUCCCUGCGUGUGGAGGAAAGAAGCCUGUGCUGGAGAAUGGGAGGAAGAUCCCUUGCUGUGUCCUCGGUGGGCACAGAACUCUGGCCAGAUGGCUUGGACAGGGAGAACCACUGAACUCGUCCUAGUCUUGCCAAGAGCUUUGGUGUUUGAGCUGCCAAACCCAAACUGGUCCUGAUGAUGGAAGACUUAAGAAAUUGCUCAAUCCAACUAAAUGCUUUAAAAAGGGAGAUGGUUUGGUUAUAAAAAUAUUUCUGCCAGAGACUGGGAAGAGUUAAAUCCCCCAAUUCUGCACAACAGCACAAGGAUUUUUUAAUUCUUUGCCUUUUUUUUCCCUUCCUUUGAUUGGGUUUGUUUGUUUCCCCUUGGAGACUGCACACACAAUAGGCAGAUUUUUCAAUUAAGCCUUUUUUUCCCCACUUUUAGUCUUCAAUGGAGCCCAGGUGCCAAUUGUUUGCUGCUUGGUUUCUGCCUUCCCUUUCCUGCCUACAGCUUAACCCCUUUCUCUCCUUCCUGCUUUUUGGCCAUCACUGGUCAUGCAGAUGAUGCUGAUGCAGAUGGCUGAUAAAUAAUUAUCAAACAGCUUGGGAAUAGUCUGUAUCAGGUAUUGGUGACAUUAAAAAAUGCAGUAUAUGGCCCAUCAACCAAUGAAUUUAGCAACAGUUGGAUAGUAACUAAUCAUCUUUCCUUUAAAGCCCUCUUCAAAGCAUAUUUACUUAUAAAGGGAAGGCAUUUAGUUUUUAUUUUAAAAAAUACUACAAAUCACCACCAGCCAGCUUAAGUGAGCAUGGAAGCCUGAUAAAGACAUUGUAAUGUUUUUUCUUUUAAAUCCCUCACAAACCCAUCACGUACUGGGGAGGCAGCUCAGCCAGUUUUAGCCCACAGCUGCCAUCCUGUGCUCAUGGAGAGCAGCCUCUCCAGCUGUCCCAGCCUCACGAAAGCACAGAAGAGGGCUUUACACAGAUCAGGGAUUAAGCUAGACCCAGGUUGGGCUCAGCUCAGUCACCAUGGCACUGUUAGAAGCCUUAAACCCUUUUUCUAUCAGAUUGAUUGUGGUUGCGGUGCAGCCACUGUGUUGCUGUCAAUGUGCUCCCCUGCAGCCUAGCCUGACAUGGUGAGCAGGGGCUUGGGGUUCUGCCUCAUGUGUUAAACAUCAAACCAGAAGAUAAAACAACAGAUAAAACCACUGCCCUGCCAUGUGCCUCACUCUGCACCACUGCUAUGAGAGGAGGGUGAAAGACCCAGUCAGUUUUAGCUCUGUAAAGAAGCUGCAGAGCAGUGAUGAGUGCCUGAAUCACAUGCCGUGCAGCCAUCAGGGGAGUGAGGGCAGGGAAAAGGGCAGAGAAAGGGAAAUAAAAAAACAACAGAGCCACCAAGACUGGAGGAUGUGAGGAUGAAUCCAAAACUAUGCUCUCCAAGAGCUGAAAUAACACAUUUCUUAAAACAAGACAUUCAAACUGGAAUGAGGGACUUGCACUCUUUCCAGAUUUUCCCAGCACCAUAACCCAUUAAAAAAAAAAAAGUCAUCUGUGGAAAUGGGAUGCUCCUUUAAGCCUUGCAGAGACUUUCUCCAGCACCACAAAGCACCCUUCCUGUUGUUCUUCCUUUAGCACUCAGGGCUGAGCCAUGGAGACCUGCUUCUUUAGUGUGUGUGUGUGUGUAUUUCAGGGUUUUUUUUAAACCAAGAAAAAAAUUGAUACCAUAUUUUAAAAAGAACCCCCAGAGCUUUGGGGAAAGUGGGCAUAAAUGUCAAACAAAACACAAAGAAAGACUGAGCUACUAAGGGAUCAUACUUAGAGUAGCAGUGGUGGGGUGGGAGGGAAGAAAUAUAGCAGACAAAUUUAACACCAUUUAGGAGGGUUUAUACACAAUGUUUUCAUUGCAAGCAGUACUUAGAAGUGACAAUUUAGUGAUUUAUCAUAUCCCAGCACACUCCUUCCCUGUCAAAGUGAUAGGCAGAACCGGCAGAGCAGCUCUGAACACACUGUUCACUACAAGGCACCACCCACAAACCCAGAAUAGCUCCACCCUUGGCCAACCCUGUCCCCUUGGGCCUUUUGAGAAGUUGGGAUUUAGGAGGCAGCCUUGCAGGGGAACAGUGUUUCAAAUGUCAAAGGAUUUAAAAAUAUACAAGGCUAUGAAAGCUGAUGGGACCUGAAAGAAUUGAAGAAGGUGUCUUAGCAGAGCAUCUUUGGCCAGUGCAGCCAGAUAACCCUCAGAUAGCAUUACUGGAGGAUCUGGGAGUGAAGCCCAGCAGGAGAUGCUGCAACAUGAACUCCUGCCCCACACGAGAGGUUCCCAGAGACCAAAAACUCCGUGCAGAGCAGACAGGAUCUGACCACGACACCUGCCUUGGGCCAAACCUGCUCUUCAUUUCUCAUGAGCCACACAGAAACGUGGUGUAUUUAUGAUCACUUCUCUCACCAGACCUGAUUGCAAUCAGCACUGGAUCCCAAAACUGAAGGAGAAGCCUUGCGUAGACAAUUCCUCCUUCAAGGCUCAGCUGCAGUACCAGGCUCAAGACCUGGCAUGCACAUGCAUUUGGCAGGGAGUAGCAAAUCAAGUGUAAGACCAUUUCAGGGUUUUUUUCAGCUGAUUGUUUAGGAAUUUACUUGGAAUAAACUUCCUCCCCAAAAGGGAUUUCAAUUCUACACAUGCACAGAGAGGAGAAAACAUUAAUGCAGUGUUGAGACAGCUCCAUGCUGAGAGCAGUGGUUUUAAGGGUAAGGCCCUUGUGUAUCUGGGAGGGUGAAACCUCUGUUUCAACCCUCUGGGAUCAUCACUUGGGCUUCCUGUGCUUCUCAAGCUCUCAAAGUAAAAUUGACCCAUCAAACUCAUCUUUGUCUCAAUCCUAAUCCCUGCAUCAUCCUUCAGGUGUAUUUCCUCACAAUGAAAUUGGAGUAGAAAAUGCUUUAGGAAAUGCUUUGCAGCCCCUUCUUCCCCAAAGGCCCAAUCUGCUUUAAUUUUUAGGAAUGCUCUUCAAGCACAAGGUUUGGAUGCAGCCAGUGAGACUCACAUUUCAGAAGGACCAUCAAUGGUCUGAUAAAGACACAGCACUUUAAAGCAGGCUGCUGGGACUGAGGAGGAUAUUUGAAACCUGUUGACAUGCAGUUCUAGCAGAAGUGCAAAAUGAAAUGUAAUGUAGUAGAACUGGAAAAUGAAAUGCUGUUAGACGAGGCUGCUCCCCAAAUUGGCUCUGCCUGGAUCCACCUGCUCUGCAGCACAGCCUUCUCCCUUUCUCCUCACUGCCCUCUGCUCAGCACCAACCCAAACCUGGGCUAUUUCAAUUCCUGUCAGACACAGAGCAGCUGAUGGGCAGCAAAUGCAGCCUUCCCAAAGUGGCUGCCCAUGACCUGGCCUGCAGGGCAGAGCUCAGGGAGGGGGUGGCAGCUUCCUCAGUGGCUUUUCAUGUCCUCUCUCUGCCGUGCAGACACUGGCAUGCAUGGCACGGCUCUGUUUUGGCAGCCAGUCCCUUGGCAGGGCUGUGUGAGCACAGGCUGAGCACAGGGUGAACUCUCUCCUCCUUGCUGUGACACCUGGGCUGGCAGGGAUGACACAGUGACCUCAGCCAGCCGAUGCUGCCUGUGCCAUCACCUGGCACUGACGUAUUUGAUGAAAAUCCUUUUGCUGGGAUUUUUCUCCUGAGAAGCCUCAGAACAGAAAUGGAACCAAUAACGAUCUGCUGGCUGUGGAGUGUGGGCUGGAGAUGGUUUAGCAACAGGGGCAUCUUGGAUUAGUGUCCUGUGCAUUGUUUCUACUUGAUGACCAAUCAUGGUCCAGCUGCGUUGGGGCUGUGAGCAGUCCCAGGUUUUUAUUAUUCAUUCCUUUCCAGCUUUCUGAUGUCUCCUUGCUCUUUUAGUAUAGUUCUAAUAUCUCAUUUUCUUUUAAUAUAAUAGAGAUCAUAAAAUAAUAUUUCAGCCUUCUGAAA
Molecule: non-coding RNA, 4263 nt
Organism: Agelaius phoeniceus (red-winged blackbird)
Lineage: Eukaryota; Metazoa; Chordata; Aves; Passeriformes; Icteridae
Source: RefSeq, a predicted model, not a curated record